GACGAACGCUGGCGGCGUGCUUAACACAUGCAAGUCGAGCGAGGCCCCUCCUUCGGGAGGGUGUCCUAGCGGCGAACGGGUGAGUAACACGUGGGCAACCUGCCCUCAGCUCUGGGAUAACUCCGGGAAACCGGGGCUAAUACCGGAUACGACCUCCACGGGCAUCUGCGGAGGUGGAAAGUUUUUCGGCUGAGGAUGGGCCCGCGGCCUAUCAGCUAGUUGGUGGGGUAGUGGCCCACCAAGGCGGCGACGGGUAGCCGGCCUGAGAGGGCGACCGGCCACACUGGGACUGAGACACGGCCCAGACUCCUACGGGGGGCAGCAGUGGGGAAUAUUGCGCAAUGGGCGAAAGCCUGACGCAGCGACGCCGCGUGGGGGACGAAGGCCUUCGGGUUGUAAACGUCUUUCAGCAGGGACGAAGCGAAAGUGACGGUACCUGCAGAAGAAGCACCGGCCAACUACGU
RNAcentral lists this ribosomal RNA (464 nucleotides) under uncultured bacterium. RNAcentral describes it as "partial 16S ribosomal RNA". It matches the Rfam family "Bacterial small subunit ribosomal RNA", at positions 28 to 506 of the family's 1533-position model. The record is from RNAcentral.